GCCAGGUGUGGUGGCGCACGCCUGUAAUCCCAGUGGCUGGGGAGGCUGAGGCAGGAGGAUCGUGAGUUCAAAGCCAGCCUCAGCAACUUAUUGAGACCCUAAGAAACUCAGGGGGACCCUGUCUCAA
RNAcentral lists this small RNA (127 nucleotides) under Marmota monax (woodchuck). The record is from RNAcentral. Lineage: Eukaryota; Metazoa; Chordata; Mammalia; Rodentia; Sciuridae.